This 74-nucleotide transfer RNA is filed under the name Stegodyphus mimosarum. It matches the Rfam family "tRNA". From Rfam's summary of the family: Transfer RNA (tRNA) molecules are approximately 80 nucleotides in length. Lineage: Eukaryota; Metazoa; Arthropoda; Arachnida; Araneae; Eresidae. The record is from Rfam by way of RNAcentral.
GCCUUCGUGGUGUAGUGGUUUGCAUGCUCGACUUCGGAACCGAGAGGUCCGUGGUUCGAUUCCCGGCGAAGGUG